RNAcentral lists this ribosomal RNA (388 nucleotides) under uncultured bacterium. RNAcentral describes it as "bacterial SSU rRNA". It matches the Rfam family "Bacterial small subunit ribosomal RNA", at positions 28 to 417 of the family's 1533-position model. The record is from RNAcentral.
GACGAACGCUGGCGGCGUGCUUAACACAUGCAGGUCGAGCGGUAAGGCCCUUUCGGGGGUACACGAGCGGCGAACGGGUGAGUAACACGUGGGUGACCUGCCUUUAGCUCUGGGAUAAGCCUGGGAAACCGGGUCUAAUACCGGAUAUGACUCCGCGGCGCAUGUUGUGGGGUGGAAAGCCUUGUGCGGCUAGGGAUGGGCCCGCGGCCUAUCAGCUUGUUGGUGGGGUGAUGGCCUACCAAGGCGACGACGGGUAGCCGGCCUGAGAGGGCGACCGGCCACACUGGGACUGAGACACGGCCCAGACUCCUACGGGAGGCAGCAGUGGGGAAUCUUGCGCAAUGGGCGAAAGCCUGACGCAGCGACGCCGCGUGAGGGAUGACGGCCU